This 908-nucleotide long non-coding RNA is filed under the name Sorghum bicolor (sorghum). Its description in RNAcentral is "long non-coding RNA (SBIC_LNC006525)". Lineage: Eukaryota; Viridiplantae; Streptophyta; Magnoliopsida; Poales; Poaceae. The record is from RNAcentral.
UAGGCUUCCCAAUAGAACAGUAGAUCAUCCUUACCAAGGUUAGAACGAGACUACGGUUGCAGUCUUCUCUAUACAUCACUCACAUUGAGAAACAUUCUUUGUAGCCUAAAGGGGUAGUAGCAAUAGAUUUGGUUAGUCAGAUGCACCCUUUCUCCCAGUGGUAAAAAUAUAAAUACGAUAACUCUGGAUAAUCUCCCGGGUGAAAUGCUCACCGAUAUCCGUGCGCUUGCGGUUCAUUUCCUUAUUGCGUUACCAAAUAUCAACAAGCAUUUCUGGCGCCGUUGCCGGGGAGAAAGACGGUUUGCUGAGAUAACUUUGAAUCUUGCUAUUAUCUUGUAUUAUAGUUUUAUACUUUUAUUCUUUUAUAUUUUUUUUUAUCUUUGUGGAUAACUUAAAUUCCAUACCUAUUAUUGAAUUUCUUGCACCUUCGGAGACCAGCAAUAGACCAUGGGAGUCAACAAGUCCUUGGAGAUUGGAGACAAAGAUAACAUUAAUGAGCAUGGAAUUUAUUUCAUAGCCACUUUGUUUACUCCAUGCUCAUAUGCAACAUCUUCCCAAUCUUUUGGUCUCUCCAACAUCACCACAUUUGAGAUCUCCAAUCCCCUCUUCUUUUCUAUUUAUAAAAACUUUAAAAGAGCGGUUGUCAAUGCAUAUGUCUAUAAUAAAUAUUGCACAUCUCGUUGAGUUGAUUGAUGGUUUCCCAAGGACAAGCUUAGUGUCCUAAAACAAGCACUAAUCAGAUCGUAAUAUGAACUUUUAAUUAUUUGCAACAUUGCCUUGUGUAUUGAGCAUAUAAAGAUAAUUGUAGAAAUAUUCUUUCGGGUAUUCUUGUCACUAACCUUUCCAGGAUUGGAGCAAGAAGAUCGGAUGAAUGACAAGCACAAGGUAUGUCCAACCAAUCAUCAUGC